GAGUUUUUUGCUCCUCUUCUUUCAAAGUAUGAAUUUUGCAUUGUACAGAUUCUUUCAUUUGCCAUUGUGUUCAUAAUUAUCACAAGAGAUUCAAUCACCUGAAACCAAGAUGGCUUCAUCUAGUAAUGAAGAAGGGACGAAAGAGGUAUUUAAGUGGACUGAUGAGGACACUAUCAUCCUGUGUGAAGUAUGCCUUCAAUUCAUUAAAGACAAUGGUCGAUCACAAUGUUUCAAGUCGAAGGAAAUCCAAAUAGACGUGGAAAAAAAAUUGACUGUCCAUUUAGUAACUUGAGUAGUUGCAAGCAUAAAUAUGAUACAAUGAGAAGACAGGCGUAAUUGGACUAAAUUAAAAUCUUCGAAAACUGGUCUCGGGUGGGAUCCGAAUUCUGGAAAAAUUGAUGCAUCAGAUGAGUGGUGGCAAAGAAAAAUCAAGGAAAAUCCAGAUAUAAAAAAGUUUCGACACAGGGGUGUCAACUCAACUCUUGAAACUAAUUGGGAUAAAUUAUUUGGAGACUCGUAUGCAACAGGUGAAAAUGUUUAUGUACCCUCAAUGGACCACAUUGAAGACUUA
Molecule: long non-coding RNA, 571 nt
Organism: Beta vulgaris subsp. vulgaris (sugar beet)
Lineage: Eukaryota; Viridiplantae; Streptophyta; Magnoliopsida; Caryophyllales; Amaranthaceae
Exons: 3
Source: RefSeq, a predicted model, not a curated record